CUACUCGGGUAUCUAAUCCUGUUUGCUCCCCACGCUUUCGCACCUCAGCGUCAGUUCCGGACCAGUAAGCCGCCUUCGCCACUGGUGUUCUUCCUAAUAUCUACGAAUUCCACCUCUACACUAGGAGUUCCACUUACCUCUUCCGGACUCUAGCUUGCCAGUAUCAAAGGCAGUUCCGGAGUUGAGCUCCGGGAUUUCACCCCUGACUUAACAAACCGCCUACGUGCGCUUUACGCCCAGUAAAUCCGAACAACGCUAGCCCCCUUCGUAUUACCGCGGCUGCUGGCAC
RNAcentral lists this ribosomal RNA (289 nucleotides) under uncultured Devosia sp. RNAcentral describes it as "partial 16S ribosomal RNA". The record is from RNAcentral. Lineage: Bacteria; Pseudomonadati; Pseudomonadota; Alphaproteobacteria; Hyphomicrobiales; Devosiaceae.